RNAcentral lists this non-coding RNA (21 nucleotides) under Arabidopsis thaliana (thale cress). Lineage: Eukaryota; Viridiplantae; Streptophyta; Magnoliopsida; Brassicales; Brassicaceae. The record is from RNAcentral.
UUGCAUACAACAGAGGUGUAC